GAACAGAUGGUGGAGCGGUGAAAUGCGUUGAUAUCAUCAGGAACACCGGAGGCGAAGGCGGCUCACUGGGUCUUUUCUGACGCUGAGGAACGAAAGCUAGGGUAGCGAACGGGAUUAGAUACCCCGGUAGUCCUAGCCGUAAACGAUGAGCACUGGGCCGGAGACCUGCACAGGUUUUCGGCCGUAGCGAAAGUGUUAAGUGCUCCGCCUGGGGAGUAUGGUCGCAAGGCUAAAACUCAAAGGAAUUGACGGGGGCUCACACAAGCGGUGGAGGAUGUGGCUUAAUUCGAGUCUACGCGAAGAACCUUAUCCUAGUCUUGACAUGCUUAGGAAUCUCUCCGAAAGGAGGGAGUGCCCGCAAGGGAGCCUUUGCACAGCUGCUGCAUGG
RNAcentral lists this ribosomal RNA (388 nucleotides) under Prymnesium parvum. RNAcentral's name for it is "partial Bacterial small subunit ribosomal RNA". It matches the Rfam family "Bacterial small subunit ribosomal RNA", at positions 664 to 1048 of the family's 1533-position model. The record is from RNAcentral. Lineage: Eukaryota; Haptophyta; Prymnesiales; Prymnesiaceae.